AUUGAACGCUGGCGGCAUGCCUUACACAUGCAAGUCGAACGGCAGCACGGGUGCUUGCCCCUGGUGGCGAGUGGCGAACGGGUGAGUAAUACAUCGGAACAUGUCCUGUAGUGGGGGAUAGCCCGGCGAAAGCCGGAUUAAUACCGCAUACGAUCUACGGAUGAAAGCGGGGGCCCUUCGGGCCUCGCGCUAUAGGGUUGGCCGAUGGCUGAUUAGCUAGUUGGUGGGGUAAAGGCCUACCAAGGCGACGAUCAGUAGCUGGUCUGAGAGGACGACCAGCCACACUGGGACUGAGACACGGCCCAGACUCCUACGGGAGGCAGCAGUGGGGAAUUUUGGACAAUGGGCGAAAGCCUGAUCCAGCAAUGCCGCGUGUGUGAAGAAGGCCUUCGGGUUGUAAAGCACUUUUGUCCGGAAAGAAAUCCUUGGCCCUAAUACGGUCGGGGGAUGACGGUACCGGAAGAAUAAGCACCGGCUAACUACGUG
This 486-nucleotide ribosomal RNA is filed under the name uncultured bacterium. RNAcentral describes it as "partial 16S ribosomal RNA". It matches the Rfam family "Bacterial small subunit ribosomal RNA", at positions 30 to 507 of the family's 1533-position model. The record is from RNAcentral.